This is a non-coding RNA of Pelobates cultripes (western spadefoot toad), 335 nucleotides long. Lineage: Eukaryota; Metazoa; Chordata; Amphibia; Anura; Pelobatidae. The record is from the annotation of a GenBank genome assembly.
GUGGCUGAAAAAUGAGAUGUCUGUGUCUAUAUGUAUGUAUGUCUGUCUUAUGUAUGUCUGUCUGUAUGUCUCUGUCUGUCUGUCAUUGUGUGUGUGUGUGUGUAUGUAUGUCAGGAUGUAUGUAUGCCAGUAUCUAUGUAUGUAUGUAUGUAUGUAUGCAUGUCAUUAUGAAUGUGUGUAUGUAUGUAUGGAUGUCAGUGUCUGUAUGCAUGUAUGUCUUUCUGUCUGUAUGAAUGUAUGUCUGUGUAUGUAUGUAUGUAUGUAUGUAUGUGUGUAUAGAUGUCAGUGUCUGUAUGCCAGUAUGAAUGUAUGUAUGUCUGUCUGUCUGUCUGUAU